GACGAACGCUGGCGGCGUGCUUAACACAUGCAAGUCGAACGGAAAGGCCCUGCUUUUGUGGGGUGCUCGAGUGGCGAACGGGUGAGUAACACGUGAGUAACCUGCCCUUGACUUUGGGAUAACUUCAUGAAACUGGGGCUAAUACCGGAUAGGAGCUCCUGCUGCAUGGUGGGGGUUGGAAAGUUUCGGCGGUUGGGGAUGGACUCGCGGCUUAUCAGCUUGUUGGUGGGGUAGUGGCUUACCAAGGCUUUGACGGGUAGCCGGCCUGGGAGGGUGACCGGCCACAUUGGGACUGGGGUACGGCCCAGGCUCCUACGGGGGGGAGGAGGGGGGAAUAUUGCAAAAUGGGCGGAAGCCUGAUGCAGGAACGCCGCGUGGGGGGAGGAGACCUUCGGGGUGUAAACCGCUUUUGCCUGGUACGAAGCGUGAGUGACGGUAAUGGGUAAAGAAGCAACGGCUAACUACGUG
This 468-nucleotide ribosomal RNA is filed under the name uncultured bacterium. Its description in RNAcentral is "partial 16S ribosomal RNA". It matches the Rfam family "Bacterial small subunit ribosomal RNA", at positions 28 to 507 of the family's 1533-position model. The record is from RNAcentral.